This 285-nucleotide unclassified non-coding RNA is filed under the name plant metagenome. Its description in RNAcentral is "partial contains small subunit ribosomal RNA and internal transcribed spacer 1". The stretch from base 1 to 46 matches the Rfam family "Eukaryotic small subunit ribosomal RNA", at positions 1786 to 1831 of the family's 1831-position model. The record is from RNAcentral.
AAGUCGUAACAAGGUUUCCGUAGGUGAACCUGCGGAAGGAUCAUUAUUGAAAUAAAUCUGAUGAGUUGCUGCUGGUUCUCUAGGGAGCAUGUGCACGCUUGUCAUCUUUAUAUCUCCACCUGUGCACCUUUUGUAGACCUGGAUCUCUCUCUGGAUGCUAGCAUUCAGGAUUGAGGAUUUGACUUCAUGUCUUUCCUUCCAUUUCCAGGCCUAUGUUUCUUCAUAUACCCCAAUGUAUGUCGUAGAAUGUAAUCAAUGGCCUUUGUGCCUAUAAAUCCUAUACAA